RNAcentral lists this long non-coding RNA (344 nucleotides) under Ananas comosus (pineapple). RNAcentral's name for it is "long non-coding RNA (ACOM_LNC006886)". The record is from RNAcentral. Lineage: Eukaryota; Viridiplantae; Streptophyta; Magnoliopsida; Poales; Bromeliaceae.
AUACUUUUAAUUAAAUUUAAAAUUUAAAUUUAAAUUCAAAUUUUAAAUUAUUUUAAAAAUAAAGUUUAGUAAAAAUAUUAAUAUAUGCAAACAUCAAAAUUUUUUUGCCAAACAACUUUAGAAAAUCACUUCAGAAAAAUUACUUUUUUUCUAAAUUCAACCAAACGCUCUACAGUUUUUCACAAAAAUUAAUUCUCCAAACCAAAAUUAUUUUUACAAAAAUCGCUUCUCCAGAAGCUAGGCCAAACAGGUCAUUAUUCUAAAAUUCAGAAUCAAGUUUUACAAAAAAUGGUAGCUCUAUUAAGAAAAAAAUUAUUUUUGGCUCUAAAAUUACUUUUUAAAUG